CACACACAGAGCAUGCCCACAAAGGACUGUUUGGAAACACCCACCAGUUUUAAGGACACAUGUUUUCAUUAAGGGCUGCAUUUUGCGGCCAAUGCUUGCUAUCCGCCAACUGAGAUUUUAAAGGGAUUUUUAAGCAGUUCCAGCCUUGAACUUCACAGCUCCACAGCAGGUCAAACUGAACGAUGCAGGGAGAGCCGUUUCCCAGGAAUGUCCCUGAAAGAGACCCAGCCUGCUGGAGGAAAAAAAGGCAACAGAGGCUGCUUGAAGUUAAGCCCCCUGCUUUAAGAAAGUUACAGGGGCCGCAGAGCCUUCGCACCAGAGUAAAACCCAACUUGGCAUCAGCCGUCAGCCAUGUAUCCAAGGGCAGGGAUAUAAACUUUAUGCCACUUUAUCUUUUUUUUUUUACUUUAACCAUUUAAAAUGCAAAAGAAAAAAAUUAAACGGAGACAAAACAAAAACAUUGAAAAAAGCAGUGAAUUAAAAUAAAACAAAGGGCAAAAACACA
Non-coding RNA from Pantherophis guttatus, 505 nucleotides. The record is from RefSeq and is a predicted model, not a curated record. NCBI's taxonomy places the organism in Eukaryota, Metazoa, Chordata, Lepidosauria, Squamata, Colubridae.